This 403-nucleotide ribosomal RNA is filed under the name Fusobacteriota bacterium. RNAcentral's name for it is "Fusobacteria bacterium partial 16S ribosomal RNA". It matches the Rfam family "Bacterial small subunit ribosomal RNA", at positions 355 to 776 of the family's 1533-position model. The record is from RNAcentral. Lineage: Bacteria; Fusobacteriati; Fusobacteriota.
UGGGGAAUUUUGCACAAUGGAGGAAACUCUGAUGCAGCGACGCCGCGUGAGUGAUGAAGAUCUUCGGAUUGUAAAACUCUGUCCUUAGUGAAGAUAAUGACAGUAACUAAGAAGCAAGCCCUGGCUAAAUACGUGCCAGCAGCCGCGGUAAUACGUAUGGGGCAAGCGUUGUCCGGAAUUAUUGGGCGUAAAGGGUACGUAGGCUGUUUAAUAAGUCCUAAUUAAAAGGCUAUGGCUCAACCAUAGUAUGGUUAGGAAACUGUUGAACUUGAGGAGAUGAGGGGAAAGUGGAAUUCCAUGUGUAGCGGUGAAAUGCGUAGAUAAAAGGAGGAACACCAAUGGCCAAGGCAACUUUUUGGAAACCAACCGACGCUGAGGUACGAAGGCGUGGGGAGCAAACAGG